UUGGAGGGCAAGUCUGGUGCCCGCAGCCGCGGUAAUUCCAGCUCCAAUAGCGUAUAUUAAAGUUGUUGCAGUUAAAUAGCUCGUAGUUGAAUUUCGGGAUCAGAUUGUCGGUCGUGCCUCGGUACGCACUGGCAUUAUUGGUUCCUACCUUCUGAAGAACCGCGAUGUCAUUAAUUUGGUGUCGUGGGGAAUCAGGACUGUUACUUUGAAAAAAUUAGAGUGUUUAAAGCAGGC
RNAcentral lists this ribosomal RNA (234 nucleotides) under uncultured Glomus. Its description in RNAcentral is "partial 18S rRNA". It matches the Rfam family "Eukaryotic small subunit ribosomal RNA", at positions 548 to 785 of the family's 1831-position model. Lineage: Eukaryota; Fungi; Glomeromycota; Glomeromycetes; Glomerales; Glomeraceae. The record is from RNAcentral.